Molecule: unclassified non-coding RNA, 226 nt
Filed under: Hevea brasiliensis (rubber tree)
Lineage: Eukaryota; Viridiplantae; Streptophyta; Magnoliopsida; Malpighiales; Euphorbiaceae
Source: RNAcentral
UUGGCUAUGAGCUGCUUGUGCAAGGGAAAUCCGGAAGCUCUUCUUGUUUGUAAUGGAUUCAAGGAUGGAGAGUACAUUUCUCUGGCGUUGCUAGCUAGAAAACUCGCUUUGAACACUGUGAUUGUGCUUGAACAAGAAGAAGAACUUGAUUUGGUCCUGGCAUUGAGCAGGAAAAUGUCAGUUAGGCCCGUGAUUGGAGUGCGAGCCAAGCUGAGAACCAAACAUU